ACGGGUGAGUAAUACAUCGGAACGUAUCCUGGAGUGGGGGAUAGCCCGGCGAAAGCCGGAUUAAUACCGCAUACGCUCUGAGGAGGAAAGCGGGGGACCUUCGGGCCUCGCGCUCAAGGGGCGGCCGAUGGCGGAUUAGGUAGUUGGUGGGGUAAAGGCCUACCAAGCCGACGAUCCGUAGCUGGUCUGAGAGGACGACCAGCCACACUGGGACUGAGACACGGCCCAGACUCCUACGGGAGGCAGCAGUGGGGAAUUUUGGUCAAUGGGGGCAACCCUGAUCCAGCAAUGCCGCGUGUGUGAAGAAGGCCUUCGGGUUGUAAAGCACUUUUGUCCGGAAAGAAAUCAUCGGGGCCAAUACCCCUGGUGGAUGACGGUACCGGAAGAAUAAGCACCGGCUAACUACGUGCCAGCAGCCGCGGUAAUACGUAGGGUGCGAGCGUUAAUCGGAAUUACUGGGCGUAAAGCGUGCGCAGGCGGUGCUGUAAGACCGAUGUGAAAUCCCCGGGCUUAACCUGGGAACUGCAUUGGUGACUGCAGCGCUGGAGUAUGGCAGAGGGGGGUGGAAUUCCACGU
Molecule: ribosomal RNA, 576 nt
Filed under: uncultured bacterium
Lineage: Bacteria
Description: bacterial SSU rRNA
Rfam family: Bacterial small subunit ribosomal RNA
Source: RNAcentral